CCUACGGGAGGCAGCAGUGGGGAAUUUUGGACAAUGGGCGCAAGCCUGAUCCAGCAAUGCCGCGUGAGUGAAGAAGGCCUUCGGGUUGUAAAGCUCUUUUGUCAGGGAAGAAACGGUGGUUCCUAAUACGGACUACUAAUGACGGUACCUGAAGAAUAAGCACCGGCUAACUACGUGCCAGCAGCCGCGGUAAUACGUAGGGUGCAAGCGUUAAUCGGAAUUACUGGGCGUAAAGCGUGCGCAGGCGGUUAUAUAAGUCAGAUGUGAAAUCCCCGGGCUCAACCUGGGAACUGCAUUUGAGACUGUAUGGCUAGAGUGUGUCAGAGGGGGGUAGAAUUCCACGUGUAGCAGUGAAAUGCGUAGAUAUGUGGAGGAAUACCGAUGGCGAAGGCAGCCCCCUGGGAUAACACUGACGCUCAUGCACGAAAGCGUGGGGAGCAAACAGGAUUAGAUACCCUGGUAGUCCACGCCCUAAACGAUGUCUACUAGUUGUCGGGACUUAAUUGUCUUGGUAACGCAGCUAACGCGUGAAGUAGACCGCCUGGGGAGUACGGUCGCAAGAUUAAACGUCAAAUGAAUUGACGG
This 585-nucleotide ribosomal RNA is filed under the name uncultured bacterium. Its description in RNAcentral is "bacterial SSU rRNA". It matches the Rfam family "Bacterial small subunit ribosomal RNA", at positions 338 to 916 of the family's 1533-position model. The record is from RNAcentral.